AAUGAACGCUGGCGGCAGGCCUAACACAUGCAAGUCGAGCGAGGUAGCAAUACCUAGCGGCGGACGGGUGAGUAACGCGUGGGAACGUACCCUUUGCUUCGGAAUAGCCCCUGGAAACGGGGAGUAAUACCGGAUGAGCCCUACGGGGGAAAGAUUUAUCGGCAAAGGAUCGGCCCGCGUUGGAUUAGGUAGUUGGUGGGGUAAUGGCCUACCAAGCCGACGAUCCAUAGCUGGUUUGAGAGGAUGAUCAGCCACACUGGGACUGAGACACGGCCCAGACUCCUACGGGAGGCAGCAGUGGGGAAUCUUAGACAAUGGGCGCAAGCCUGAUCUAGCCAUGCCGCGUGAUCGAUGAAGGCCUUAGGGUUGUAAAGAUCUUUCGUGGGGGAAGAUAAUGACGGUACCCCAAGAAGAAGCCCCGGCUAACUCCGUGCCAGCAGCCGCGGUAAUACGGAGGGGGCUAGCGUUAUUCGGAAUUACUGGGCGUAAAGCGCACGUAGGCGGAUUGAAAAGUCAGAGGUGAAAUCCCAGAGCUCAACUUUGGAACUGCCUUUGAAACUCUCAGUCUUGAGGUCGAGAGAGGUGAGUGGAAUUCCGAGUGUAGAGGUGAAAUUCGUAGAUAUUCGGAGGAACACCAGUGGCGAAGGCGGCUCACUGGCUCG
RNAcentral lists this ribosomal RNA (662 nucleotides) under Pseudomonadota bacterium. Its description in RNAcentral is "bacterial SSU rRNA". It matches the Rfam family "Bacterial small subunit ribosomal RNA", at positions 28 to 736 of the family's 1533-position model. Lineage: Bacteria; Pseudomonadati; Pseudomonadota. The record is from RNAcentral.